AAGAUCAUUUGAUCUUAAAUUUCAGAGUACUCUGCAAAGUCCCAUUAUUUAAGAACAUGCCUUUUUCCAAUAGAAUAAGAACAUUAACGCAGUUUCAUUAUUUUAUCUUCCUUCCUUCGUUUGCGAGAAAAACAGAGUGUGUUUCCUAAGAAAAUUUACCAUGCGAUCACUUAUUUCUCCGUCUUAUUCCAGUUCGUCUUCUACUUCUUCUUAUUCACUCGCUGCAACGAUAU
Molecule: long non-coding RNA, 233 nt
Filed under: Brassica napus (rape)
Lineage: Eukaryota; Viridiplantae; Streptophyta; Magnoliopsida; Brassicales; Brassicaceae
Description: long non-coding RNA (BNAP_LNC020460)
Source: RNAcentral